Sapajus apella (tufted capuchin) is the source of this 208-nucleotide long non-coding RNA. RefSeq lists it as uncharacterized. The record is from RefSeq and is a predicted model, not a curated record. The transcript has 2 exons. NCBI's taxonomy places the organism in Eukaryota, Metazoa, Chordata, Mammalia, Primates, Cebidae.
CCCUAAAUAGCCUCACAGAUGAUCAUUCCUUUCCAUAACCUCUAAGAGAAGAUCUGAGGAAGAACUAUGAAAUCAAAGACUAACUAACUCCUCUGUAUUUUUCAUUUAAUGCAGCACGGUGUUCUGUAUUAUUUCUGGAUGCUAAGUUGUUGCUACAUUUCUCCCGGUGGUGACUACAUUUCAUCAACGAAUAAAGCUGUAACUGAUA